This 1866-nucleotide long non-coding RNA is filed under the name Bemisia tabaci. Its description in RNAcentral is "lncRNA ENSSSA1NGG008636". Lineage: Eukaryota; Metazoa; Arthropoda; Insecta; Hemiptera; Aleyrodidae. The record is from RNAcentral.
AUCACGCCUUGUACCGCCUUGCUAAAGAAGAACGCCGGAUGAGCUUUCAGGCGUUACCAAACUUCCCCUGGCAAAUCGCACUAAUUGUCAGGAAAUAUUUUGAAUAUUUGUCUGCCAAUUUUUCAGAUAAUUGUGUUCGUAUUUUGAUCUAAAACGUCUGAAAAUUUCAAGGAAAAAUAUUUAUAAUCUUCCUCAAAAAUAAAAUUUUAUCGAAGGAAAUUUGGCAACUCUCGAAUGUUCAUACGGCGUUCUUGCUUAGCACGGCAAUGUAGGUAUCUCAUUUCAUAACUGGAUUGCAUUUUGAAAAAAGGAACCAGGAGCAUUGCAAUGUUGCUAAGAUUGUGCAACUUCACCCGUUGUGGUAUAACGAUCUAUAUGCUGAAAAAAUAUGAAAUUUACAUGGUAAUUUUUGUCCUAAAGUUGCAGUUUUUAACGAGUAAAAUAGAAACUUUUUAGAGACAAUCGGGUGGUACUUCCAAGACAAAAGGAGCUGCACAGUCUCAGCAAUAUUGUAAUGCUCCUGGUUCCUUUUUGCAAAAUGCAAUCCAACUUAAAUAUUGGCAAAAAUAAAUACAAGUAAAUUGAUGAAUGAAAAUUUUAAUAUUUCUUUGUUUGUUUGUUUGUUUGUUUACCAGGCGAGAUGUGAUCGACGCCGGAGGUUACCAGCCGUCGGACCUGCUCCGCGGAGGGAACCGCGAGAAGAACGAUCACCUGACGAUCCAAUGGCUGGCAGGUAUCAUUUCCGAGAUCCGCGGUGAGGUCACAGAGCUGGCCGCCUCCCUCAACUCGUCAGCCGAGUAUCAGAAGCGUCAGUCCCUCUCCACCGACAUCGAGAUCCUCCAGAGGGAUGUUCAGAGUCUUCGCGCCGACCUGGAAAAUCUCAAAGCUGUUCAGACCAUCAAUUCGGCCAAGCUCAGUGAGCUGGACCAGGAGGUCGAAACCGCCAAAACCCAAAGCCUCAAUGCUGCCACCGUCUGUUCAGAGCUGCAGUCCUCGGCGGAGUGGUCAAAACAUAAUGAUGGCGCGCUCAAAAUAUACAAGGUAACCAUUGCACCGCAGCUGUCAUUUCCUGUAGGCUGUCUACCCAAUGCACCUUUCUUGUCUUCCCUUCUCCCCGUCUUAUUAUUGUUUCUGUUCUCUGUAGCCCAUUUCUAACCCCUAUCAUUUCAUUGACUUACAUUUAGUCAUGUAACUUUCGUUCUAUCCUUACAUCGUCACAUUCCGGUCACAGUAUCACAGGCGACAUGCGACGUUUAAAAAGUUCCGCCGCCAUUUAAUUUUACUACAGAGAAAUUGUUCAACGAAGUAGUCCGAAAAUUUCCAUGAAUUUUCUUUGUGCUGCCGAUAAAAUUCAGUGAAAUUUUCAAAUAGAUUCAACCAUCAAUUUCUCCGUAAAAAAAUUAAAUGGUGGUAGAAAUUUUUAAACGUCGCAUGGCGCUUGCGAUACUUUGACCGGAAGGUGACGACAUGCGAUUCUCAACGAAAACAGGGGUGUUAGUCCUCAAGACAUAAGAACAUGGAAAGCGUUCUGCGAACAUUUUGACACAAAAAAUUCCCGGAAAACGGUAUAGUCAGAGUUAUCCUUAAAUGUUCUACAUACAUACUAGUGUGCGCAAAUAAUGAAGGAAGAAAAAAAGAUAGUUGCGUCUCAUUUAUAUUAAAGGAACAGAUUAAGACCGUCUAUCUGCUCAUACUAUCAAUAUGUUUCCGCUUUUUGCAACGCACGUUAACACGCUCGUCAAUAGCGACGCCUGAGUGCAACUGUUCCUGCUUAUUGGAUAUCCGUUAUGCAUAUUCGAUAGAUUGAAGGCGCUUUUACUUCCCCUAUUUGCGUUAACUCUGCCUUAGCUUUCGCUUUGAUCGGUG